RNAcentral lists this ribosomal RNA (465 nucleotides) under uncultured bacterium. Its description in RNAcentral is "partial 16S ribosomal RNA". It matches the Rfam family "Bacterial small subunit ribosomal RNA", at positions 338 to 795 of the family's 1533-position model. The record is from RNAcentral.
CCUACGGGAGGCUGCAGUGGGGAAUAUUGCGCAAUGGGCGAAAGCCUGACGCAGCGACGCCGCGUGAGGGAUGAAGGUCUUCGGAUCGUAAACCUCUGUCAGCAGGGAAGAACGGUCACUGUGCUAAUCAGCAGUGAAUUGACGGUACCUGCAAAGGAAGCACCGGCCAACUCCGUGCCAGCAGCCGCGGUAAUACGGAGGGUGCGAGCGUUAAUCGGAAUUACUGGGCGUAAAGCGCGCGUAGGCGGUAUGUCAAGUCAAGGGUGAAAUCCCCGCGCUCAACUUGGGAACUGCCUUUGAAACUGGCAACCUGGAGUGUGUGAGAGGUUAGUGGAAUUCCCGGUGUAGGCGUGAAAUCCGUAGAUAUCUGGCGGAACAUCAGUGGCGAAGGCGACUCUCUGGCACAUAACUGACGCUGAGGAGCGAAAGCGUGGGUAGCAAACAGGAUUAGAUACCCGAGUAGUC